This 253-nucleotide ribosomal RNA is filed under the name uncultured bacterium. RNAcentral's name for it is "partial 16S ribosomal RNA". It matches the Rfam family "Bacterial small subunit ribosomal RNA", at positions 524 to 776 of the family's 1533-position model. The record is from RNAcentral.
UACGUAGGAGGCAAGCGUUGUCCGGAAUUACUGGGCGUAAAGCGCGUGUAGGUGGUGGGACAAGUCUGCUGUGAAAGCGCCUGGCUUAACCGGGCGAGGUCGGCGGAAACUGUCCGACUCGAGGACGGUAGAGGGGGGUGGAAUUCCCGGUGUAGUGGUGAAAUGCGUAGAGAUCGGGAGGAACACCGAUUGCGAAGGCAGCUCGCUGGAACGUUACUGACGCUGAGACGCGAAAGCGUGGGGAGCAAACAGG